GGAAUGAAAAGUCACAGGGAUGAAAGGUAUAGCACAGGGAAUAUAGUCACUGGUAGAGUAAUCCAGUUGUAUGGUGACUGAUGGUAGCUACACUUCUGAGGAUAGCAUAAUCGAUAAGAGUGGC
Long non-coding RNA from Leopardus geoffroyi (Geoffroy's cat), 124 nucleotides. RefSeq lists it as uncharacterized. NCBI's taxonomy places the organism in Eukaryota, Metazoa, Chordata, Mammalia, Carnivora, Felidae. The record is from RefSeq and is a predicted model, not a curated record. The transcript has 3 exons.